GGACCACCCAGUGAGGUUAAGGCCAUACGGACAGCCGGGUCCACUGCCGA
This 50-nucleotide small RNA is filed under the name Mediterraneibacter torques. RNAcentral describes it as "Ruminococcus torques Streptococcus sRNA SpF59 (ldcC RNA)". It matches the Rfam family "Streptococcus sRNA SpF59 (ldcC RNA)". The record is from Rfam by way of RNAcentral. RNAcentral also lists the same sequence under 1 other name. Lineage: Bacteria; Bacillati; Bacillota; Clostridia; Lachnospirales; Lachnospiraceae.